This 408-nucleotide ribosomal RNA is filed under the name Klebsiella pneumoniae. RNAcentral's name for it is "bacterial SSU rRNA". It matches the Rfam family "Bacterial small subunit ribosomal RNA", at positions 361 to 761 of the family's 1533-position model. Lineage: Bacteria; Pseudomonadati; Pseudomonadota; Gammaproteobacteria; Enterobacterales; Enterobacteriaceae. The record is from RNAcentral.
AUAUUGCACAAUGGGCGCAAGCCUGAUGCAGCCAUGCCGCGUGUGUGAAGAAGGCCUUCGGGUUGUAAAGCACUUUCGGCGGGGAGGAAGGCGUUAAGGUUAAUAACCUUGGCGAUUGACGUUACCCGCAGAAGAAGCACCGGCUAACUCCGUGCCAGCAGCCGCGGUAAUACGGAGGGUGCAAGCGUUAAUCGGAAUUACUGGGCGUAAAGCGCACGCAGGCGGUCUGUCAAGUCGGAUGUGAAAUCCCCGGGCUCAACCUGGGAACUGCAUUCGAAACUGGCAGGCUAGAGUCUUGUAGAGGGGGGUAGAAUUCCAGGUGUAGCGGUGAAAUGCGUAGAGAUCUGGAGGAGUACCGGUGGCGACGGCGGCCCCCUGUACAAAGACUGACGCUCAGGUGCGAAAGCG